This 674-nucleotide ribosomal RNA is filed under the name Escherichia coli. Its description in RNAcentral is "bacterial SSU rRNA". It matches the Rfam family "Bacterial small subunit ribosomal RNA", at positions 33 to 688 of the family's 1533-position model. The record is from RNAcentral. Lineage: Bacteria; Pseudomonadati; Pseudomonadota; Gammaproteobacteria; Enterobacterales; Enterobacteriaceae.
AGGGGGGGCGGGCCUUAACCAUGCAAGUCGAACGGUAACAGGAAGAAGCUUGCUUCUUUGCUGAUUAGUGGCGGACGGGUGAGUAAUGUCUGGGAAACUGCCUGAUGGAGGGGGAUAACUACUGGAAACGGUAGCUAAUACCGCAUAACGUCGCAAGACCAAAGAGGGGGACCUUCGGGCCUCUUGCCAUCGGAUGUGCCCAGAUGGGAUUAGCUAGUAGGUGGGGUAACGGCUCACCUAGGCGACGAUCCCUAGCUGGUCUGAGAGGAUGACCAGCCACACUGGAACUGAGACACGGUCCAGACUCCUACGGGAGGCAGCAGUGGGGAAUAUUGCACAAUGGGCGCAAGCCUGAUGCAGCCAUUCCGCGUGUAUGAAGAAGGCCUUCGGGUUGUAAAGUACUUUCAGCGGGGAGGAAGGGAGUAAAGUUAAUACCUUUGCUCAUUGACGUUACCCGCAGAAGAAGCACCGGCUAACUCCGUGCCAGCAGCCGCGGUAAUACGGAGGGUGCAAGCGUUAAUCGGAAUUACUGGGCGUAAAGCGCACGCAGGCGGUUUGUUAAGUCAGAUGUGAAAAUCCCCCGGGCUUCAACCCUGGGAAACUGCAUCCUGAUACUGGCAAGCUUUGAAUCCUCGUAGAGGGGGGGGUAGAAAUUCCCAGGGUGGUAGCGGGUG